Molecule: ribosomal RNA, 440 nt
Filed under: uncultured bacterium
Lineage: Bacteria
Description: partial 16S ribosomal RNA
Rfam family: Bacterial small subunit ribosomal RNA
Source: RNAcentral
CCUACGGGAGGCAGCAGUAGGGAAUAUUGCUCAAUGGGGGAAACCCUGAAGCAGCAACGCCGCGUGGAGGAUGAAGGUUUUCGGAUUGUAAACUCCUUUUGUUAGAGAAGAUAAUGACGGUAUCUAACGAAUAAGCACCGGCUAACUCCGUGCCAGCAGCCGCGGUAAUACGGAGGGUGCAAGCGUUACUCGGAAUCACUGGGCGUAAAGAGCGCGUAGGCGGGAUAGCAAGUCAGAUGUGAAAACCUAGGGCUUAACCAUAGAACUGCAUUUGAAACUGUUAUUCUAGAGUAUGGGAGAGGUAGGUGGAAGUCUUGGUGUAGGGGUAAAAUCCGUAGAGAUCAAGAGGAAUACUCAUUGCGAAGGCGACCUGCUAGAACAUAACUGACGCUGAUGCGCGAAAGCGUGGGGAGCAAACAGGAGUAGAUACCCCUGUAGUC